GAUGAAGAACGUAGCGAAAUGCGAUAAGUAAUGUGAAUUGCAGAAUUCAGUGAAUCAUCGAAUCUUUGAACGCACAUUGCGCCCCUUGGUAUUCCGAGGGGCAUGCCUGUUCGAGCGUCAUUAUAACCCCUCAAGCUAAGCUUGGUGUUGGGGCCUGCUGCACUGGCAGCCCUUAAAAUCAGUGGCGGCGCCAUCUGGCUCUAAGCGUAGUAAUUCUUCUCGCUAUGGAGUCCUGGUGGAUGCUUGCCAUCAACCCCCAAUUUUUCUAUGGUUGACCUCGGAUCAGGUAGGGAUACCCGCUGAACUUAAGCAUAUCAAUAAGCGGAGGA
RNAcentral lists this unclassified non-coding RNA (329 nucleotides) under soil metagenome. RNAcentral's name for it is "partial contains 5.8S ribosomal RNA, internal transcribed spacer 2, and large subunit ribosomal RNA". The stretch from base 1 to 120 matches the Rfam family "5.8S ribosomal RNA", at positions 35 to 154 of the family's 154-position model. The record is from RNAcentral.